AAUCAACGCUGGCGGCGCGCUUAACACAUGCAAGUCGGACGAGAAAGGGGAGCAAUCCCUGAGUACAGUGGCGUACGGGUGAGUAACACGUGGAUGAUCUACCUCUUAGUGGGGGAUACCUCUGGGAAACCGGAGACAAUACCGCAUAAGCUCGAGAGAGGAAAGCAGCAAUGCGCUGAGAGAGGAGUCCGCGGCCGAUUAGCUAGUUGGUAGGGUAAAGGCCUACCAAGGCAAAGAUCGGUAGCCGGCCUGAGAGGGCACACGGCCACACUGGCACUGAAACACGGGCCAGACUCCUACGGGAGGCAGCAGUGGGGAAUCUUGCACAAUGGGGGAAACCCUGAUGCAGCGACGCCGCGUGAGCGAUGAAGCCCUUCGGGGUGUAAAGCUCUUUCGACGGGAACGAUAAUGACGGUACCCGGAGAAGAAGCUGCGGCUAACUACGUGCCAGCAGCCGCGGUAAUACGUAGGCAGCAAGCGUUGUUCGGAGUUACUGGGCGUAAAGAGUGCGUAGGCGGUUCCGUAAGUUUGGUGUGAAAUCUCCCGGCUUAACUGGGAGGGUGCGCCGAAAACUGCGGAGCUGGAGUGUGGGAGAGGUAAGCGGAAUUCCUGGUGUAGCGGUGAAAUGCGUAGAUAUCAGGAGGAACACCGGCGGUGUAGACGGCUUACUGGACCAUGACUGACGCUGAGGCACGAAAGCGUGGGGAGCAAACAGGAUUAGAUACCCUGGUAGUCCACGCCCUAAACGAUGCACACUUGGUGUGAGCGAUUCAUUUCGUUCGUGCCGGAGCUAACGCGUUAAGUGUGCCGCCUGGGGAGUACGGUCGCAAGGCUG
This 835-nucleotide ribosomal RNA is filed under the name uncultured bacterium. RNAcentral describes it as "bacterial SSU rRNA". It matches the Rfam family "Bacterial small subunit ribosomal RNA", at positions 28 to 896 of the family's 1533-position model. The record is from RNAcentral.